UCUGAUUGGCUCCGGGCUUUGUUUGCGCAGGAUAGGUGGGAGGCGAUGAAAAUUUUCUUGCGGGAAGAUUGGAGCCGUUGGUGAGAUACCACUCUAACAAUGCUAGGAUUCUAACCCUACACCGUUAUCCGGUUAGGGGACAGUUUCAGGUGGUCAGUUUGACUGGGGCGGUCGCCUCCCAAAAGGUAACGGAGGCGUGCAAAGGUUUCCUCAGGCUGGUCGGAAAUCAGUCGUAGAGUGUAAAGGCAUAAGGAAGCUUGAUUGUGAGACCUACAAGUCGAACAAAGACGAAAGUCGGCCUUAGUGAUCCGACGGUUCCGAGUGGAAGGGCCGUCGCUCAACGGAUAAAAGUUACUCUAGGGAUAACAGGCUGAA
Molecule: ribosomal RNA, 375 nt
Filed under: uncultured eukaryote
Lineage: Eukaryota
Description: LSU rRNA
Rfam family: Bacterial large subunit ribosomal RNA
Source: RNAcentral